This 127-nucleotide small RNA is filed under the name Marmota monax (woodchuck). The record is from RNAcentral. Lineage: Eukaryota; Metazoa; Chordata; Mammalia; Rodentia; Sciuridae.
ACCAGGCAUGGUGGUGCACGCCUGUAAUCCCAGCAGCUCUGGAGGCUGAGGCAGGAGGAUCAUGAGUUCAAAGCCGGCCUCAGCAACUUAGUGAGGCACUUAGCGACUCAGCAAGAUCCUGUCUCUA